UACAAUUCUAGUUAGAAGCAAAACUGGGACAAGAAUUCAGGUUUUCUAAGUCCAGGUAGGUUUUGUUGCUAUUCUUCAACUCUGCCUCCCAUAAUUUAAAAAAUCCUCAAUCAUAAAUGUUCCAUUGUAAUUAGCUUCAGAAAACAUUGCAGGCUACAGAGUAAAAUGCUAGUUUUAAUAAUAUUGAUCUUUGCUUCUUUUUCUCACCUGAAAAAUAAGAUACAUUAAAAGAAAUAGAAAAUGUACAAGUAUUGGUAAAACAGAAAAACAAAACAAAGAAAAAAAACCCCAAAGCUUGAACUAAAUUAAUUUGUGUUGAGACACAUACUUUAAGCCAUUUACCAUCUUUAUCUGUCUACCUUUUAAAGGCACGUCUAAAUCCAGUUCUCAUGACUUUAAACCAAAACGAUAUAAUUUCCCUUGUUAUUUUAAUGGUUUCUUCCAAAUUACUUGGUUAGCAAGAAACAGAUAGAGGGCAGCAUGGGACCAGCGUGCUAGCUGCCCUUUCGGAGAACAGGACUGCAUAAGUUGCACAUUGGAAGAGGUAGCCAAGACAGAGAGAGAAGUAGCAGGCAUACCCCGCACCCUCUCCCCCACCUCUCCAGAAAGCAAUGCUGCGCCUCUUGCUCAUUGUUUAAGAAGAAAAGGGGGAACUUGGAGACACAGCCAAUGAAGGAUAAAUGAGUGCUCUGCUAGUUCAAAGUCAACGUGCAGAUUGGACAGAGGAAGCGUGCAGAGCUCAGAAGGUUUUAGGCCACACAAUAUCUGAAUCCACCGUUGCUUUCAGCAAUCCUGGUAAUAAAAAUUAUUCAUCACUCAAAACUAAGAUCAGAUGUCACUUCCUUUAUAAACUAUUUCCUGAAUCCCUAAUCAGGUAAGAGCUACCUUAGAACUGUACAGUGAUUUAACACCUUAAAGCCAUUAUUA
Molecule: long non-coding RNA, 927 nt
Filed under: Mustela putorius furo (domestic ferret)
Lineage: Eukaryota; Metazoa; Chordata; Mammalia; Carnivora; Mustelidae
Description: lncRNA (ENSMPUG00000030594.1)
Source: RNAcentral